AUUGAACGCUGGCGGGAGGCCUAAUACAUGCAAGUCGAACGGUAAAUGGUAGCAAUACUAUGAGAGUGGCGUACGGGUGCGUAACGCGUACACAACCUGCCUUGUACUGGGGGAUAGCCUCGGGAAACUGAGAUUAAUACCCCAUAAUUUUACGAUGUGGCAUCACAUUGUAAUUAAAGCUCCGGCGGUACAAGAUGGGUGUGCGUCCGAUUAGGUAGUUGGUGAGGUAACGGCUCACCAAGCCGACGAUCGGUAGCUGGUCUGAGGGGACGAUCAGCCACACGGGCUCUGAGACACGGGCCCGACUCCUACGGGAGGCAGCAGUAGGGAAUAUUGGACAAUGGACGCAAGUCUGAUCCAGCCAUCCCGCGUGAAGGAUUAAGGCCCUCUGGGUUGUAAACUUCUUUUCUUUGGGAAUAAGAAGCGGUAUUCAUAUCGCCUUGAAGGUACCAGGGGAAUAAGCACCGGCUAACUCCGUGCCAGCCGCCGCAGUAA
Molecule: ribosomal RNA, 495 nt
Filed under: uncultured bacterium
Lineage: Bacteria
Description: partial 16S ribosomal RNA
Rfam family: Bacterial small subunit ribosomal RNA
Source: RNAcentral